Molecule: transfer RNA, 74 nt
Filed under: uncultured cyanobacterium
Lineage: Bacteria; Bacillati; Cyanobacteriota
Description: tRNA-Ile
Rfam family: tRNA
About the family: Transfer RNA (tRNA) molecules are approximately 80 nucleotides in length. Their secondary structure includes four short double-helical elements and three loops (D, anti-codon, and T loops). Further hydrogen bonds mediate the characteristic L-shaped molecular structure. tRNAs have two regions of fundamental functional importance: the anti-codon, which is responsible for specific mRNA codon recognition, and the 3' end, to which the tRNAs corresponding amino acid is attached (by aminoacyl-tRNA synthetases). tRNAs cope with the degeneracy of the genetic code in two manners: having more than one tRNA (with a specific anti-codon) for a particular amino acid; and 'wobble' base-pairing, i.e. permitting non-standard base-pairing at the 3rd anti-codon position.
Source: RNAcentral
GGGCCAUUAGCUCAGGUGGUUAGAGCGCACCCCUGAUAAGGGUGAGGUCCCUGGUUCAAGUUCAGGAUGGCCCA